CCGGGCUUUACAAUCCAGAGAUAGACUUGGCUAAACUUACCGAUCUAACUUAACGCUAGCUAACGAAUAAUGCCUGCAGCAAAUAGGGCUAGGGUUAAAAAAAAAAAAAGUGCAGUCUCACUUUCAAACCACCAGGCGUUAGCUAUCGUGCUAGCUAGUGUGCCACCUUCAAGGAAGCCUUCACCGUUAGCUUACGGUGUAGUAUGGCGCACUGGCUGCAGGAGCUAAGCCCCGGAUAAGUAGCUGGCCGGAUAAACGUUGCUAUGCAAGCACAGCAAGUUGUACAGGAGCGGUAAGCCGUGUGGAAAAGCACUUUUCUGGAGGACAGAUUUCCCACUGGAGCCACAGGAACAUGAAGGAGUACCUGGAGACUCAGCUAUCACAUUCAUAAGCCUCAGACUGUCUUCAGUGGAUUCUGUGAUGCAGCAGCACCACCUACUGGCUGAUGUGGCUCAGUCUUCAUGAAGCGGCACAGAGACCAGGUCCAACGAGUCCAGGUCUCUUCUCUUCUGACCUAAAGACUAAAAGUUUCCUCUGGUAAUACAACUAAUAAAAACUUUAUUAAUUGCUUUAUAUUGUUUUGAAUCAAGAUGAAAACAUAACAGACGUGUUGUUGCACACAAUGCUUUUCUCUUCUGCUGCAGUGUUUAACCACAUCAUUCAAAUCCUAAAGCCAUGAAAUGUACUGAUUUAGUUUAUUAUAAAAUGAUGAAAAUAAUGUAAAAGUUAAAGUGGAAGAGUUGAAUGAAAGUCACUCCAGACCGUGUCACUACAGGAGAGUAGAUCUGACCUGAGAGGAGUUUGUAACAUUAGAAAAUGGAUUAAAUGUGUUUCUAUUGUUGGAGUUAAAUUAAGGAACAAUAUGAAUAUACAUUUUAAAACAUGUAAUUUCCUUUUUGUUUUGAAAACAGAUAUUUUCUGAGGUGUUUUCUUUUUGGUAGGUGGAUUAAUUGAUAAGAAUGUGGGCGGAGCCUGAGACCAUUGACUGUCUUUUUUCUGUCUAUAUUAUUUAUAUUUACUGUUUUAUAUGAUGACUGAAUAAAACGUCUUCUAUAAAUCUACUUUAAUAAUAAACGGAACAUGAAGUGACAAGUGAAGCAUGUUGAGGAGGAGAUCAGUUCAACAGUCAUAGAGUUUAUUCUGAUUAUAGACAUUAUCAACAUUUUAGUAACAAGCAGUUUGACUUUUAUUUCCAUUAUUACAUCUGACUGUAUAAACAUCUUAUUUAUAAUUUUCAGUCCCUUGAAUCAGAUGAUCUGAUGCUGCGACUCAACAUAUUCAACAGUGACUGGAGCUGAACGCAGCGUCAUGAGUCAGAUCAGUUUGGAUCUGAGUUACGUUGAUGUUUAUGGCUCAUUGUUGAACUUUGACCUUUUGUCACUUCCUGGUUGAGUAUCAGCACUGGACCAAUCAGAUCAAGUGUCAUCAGUAUUUAACAAACAACAGGUUAUUUUACAAGGAAGACAUUUUUCUCUGUGUGUGGUCCACGAUGUGAUUCAUGAUACUUCAUCAAUGUUCACGUUCGGGCUGAUUAUUAUUAAACCCACUGUGCCAUGAAUAAAGCAGCACAGUUCUCUGUUUGUCUGGACACUCACACUUCAUCCAUCUCCGGAGGUUCCUCAUGACAGCUGAGAGAAAAUCCUCAGGUGACAAACGAAGACGGAGAUCUCCAUGUUUGUUUCUUCAUGAACAGUGUCACAUGACUGAAGGACAGAGUGACUGUGAGAGAAAGUAAAGAACCGUGGUAACGUUUGAAUCUGUUCAUGUGGAACCAUGAUUCAAGAUGAAACUAAAUUUGUACAAAAGUUUUUCAACAUGUUGAAUUCAUCUGUUUUAGUUUUUUAACUUGAGAAACUCAUAAAGUCUCAAACCUAUUGGCCCCUUUACAAAAGCCUCCCAGCAUUUAACAAGUACAAAUAAGGACAUGGAACGCAGCCCUUCACUAACUGACAGGAACAGUGACGGACUCACAUCUGGUUCUUAAUCAAACAAACAGUCACUCUGACGUUACAGCAGCAAACAGACACACGGCUCCGGUCUCUACUGAGGACGUCUGUGGACAAACCACAACAACAAGUGACUCAAGGAGCUGAAUCUGAGGACGUGUGUUUGACCUACAUCUGCUCAGAGAGAGAGAGAGAGAGAGACAGAGAGAGAGAGACAGAGAGAGAGACAGAGAGAGAGACAGAGAGAGAGAGACAGAGAGAGAGACACAGAGAGAGAGACAGAGAGACUUACUGAAGCAGAUAUAGAAACAGAUGUGACAACAGAAAACCAGAGUAACACAUCUGCUUAAUGCAGUUCACCUCUAUCAAAACACACACACACACACACACACACACACACACACACACA
Long non-coding RNA from Seriola aureovittata, 2355 nucleotides. RefSeq lists it as uncharacterized. The transcript is spliced from 3 exons. Lineage: Eukaryota; Metazoa; Chordata; Actinopteri; Carangiformes; Carangidae. The record is from RefSeq and is a predicted model, not a curated record.